Molecule: ribosomal RNA, 253 nt
Filed under: uncultured bacterium
Lineage: Bacteria
Description: partial 16S ribosomal RNA
Rfam family: Bacterial small subunit ribosomal RNA
Source: RNAcentral
UACGUAGGGAGCAAGCGUUGUCCGGAAUCAUUGGGCGUAAAGCGCGUGUAGGCGGCCAGGUAAGUCCGUUCUGAAAGCCCGGGGCUCAACCCCGGGAGGCGGAUGGAUACUGCUUGGCUCGAGUCCGGAAGAGGCGAGUGGAAUUCCCGGUGUAGCGGUGAAAUGCGCAGAUAUCGGGAGGAACACCAAUGGCGAAGGCAGCUCGCUGGGACGGUACUGACGCUGAGACGCGAAAGCGUGGGGAGCAAACAGG